CCAGCGGCCAAGUCAAGACUCCUUGAAUGCUCAGGAAGGUGUGACUUGCAGAGGAGUUGAUUCCUUCUUAUGUACAUUUACUGGAGAAGUUUACAGCAGGAGACUGGGGUCUGAGACACACGCAUCUUUGUGUGCCCCAAAGAAUAAAGCCCUCAAAGGAUGUGAAGCCUGAACUCACUUCAAAUGCUGGAAAGGCCCUUUCCUUAGCUGAGCUGUGGAGGAACCAGGACUCCUGUGGCACUGCCCUAACGAGGAGGCAGUGCUGCCAGAUUCAGGUCUGCAAGACAGCUUUGAUUCAGCUGAUUUCAGCCAGGCUCACCCCGACUUUGCAGGGCGCUG
This 339-nucleotide long non-coding RNA is filed under the name Homo sapiens (human). RNAcentral describes it as "non-protein coding lnc-CHD2-2:1". The record is from RNAcentral. Lineage: Eukaryota; Metazoa; Chordata; Mammalia; Primates; Hominidae.